RNAcentral lists this ribosomal RNA (433 nucleotides) under uncultured bacterium. RNAcentral's name for it is "partial 16S ribosomal RNA". It matches the Rfam family "Bacterial small subunit ribosomal RNA", at positions 29 to 507 of the family's 1533-position model. The record is from RNAcentral.
AGCGAACGCUGGCGGCAGGCCUAACACAUGCAAGUCGAACGAACUCUUCGGAGUUAGUGGCGGACGGGUGAGUAACACGUGGGAACGUGCCUUUUGGUUCGGAAUAACUCAGGGAAACUUGUGCUAAUACCGAAUGUGCCCUUCGGGGGAAAGAUUUAUCGCCAUUAGAGCGGCCCGCGUCUGAUUAGCUAGUUGGUGAGGUAACGGCUCACCAAGGCGACGAUCAGUAGCUGGUCUGAGAGGAUGACCAGCCACACUGGGACUGAGACACGGCCCAGACUCCUACGGGAGGCAGCAGUGGGGAAUCUUGCGCAAUGGGCGAAAGCCUGACGCAGCCAUGCCGCGUGAAUGAUGAAGGUCUUAGGAUUGUAAAAUUCUUUCACCGGGGACGAUAAUGACGGUACCCGGAGAAGAAGCCUCGGCUAACUUCGUG